CGAGGAGCCCGAUGUGGGACUCGAUCCUGGAACGCCAGGAUCACGCCCUGAGCCGAAGGCAGACGCUUAACGACUGCGCUACCCAGGCGCCCCCUUUUCUCUAUAAUCUUAUCAAAUAAAUGCAUUAGGCUAUGCACGUGCACAGUGCAGUGAUAGGAAAUGUAGGGGACAGGAAGGAAAUGUGGUUUAAAUAGAGCUGGGAGCAUGCAGCAGGAGAAAAAGCCCAACUCUGGUCUCCCCGGAGGCUCCUCCUCACUCCCUUCCCCCCACGCCCCUCCCUGGCCUGAAGGAGGCAGAGACAGAAGGAAGGGAGACUGUGGGCAGGCAGGAAGGGGGACUGGGGACAGCAGAGCUAAGCUGAAGUGAGCACAGGGACUGGAAAGAGGCAGCAGGAGCCUGGGGGAGAAGGAAAACCUACAGAAAGGAGGGUCUCCCCCAAAGGGACCAAGGGCCAGUGAGGGGGGAAACGGAAAGGGAAGGGCCGAGGGGCUGACGGCGUCCCACCCCAGGACCCUUCCAGCACCUGUGUGCAGGCCACACCAGGGCUCACAGGCCUCCCUGGGGUCCCUGAGUCCUCCCAGCAUCCUGGGAACUCUGUGGUGGGAAAGGAGACAGGCAGCUUCCCUGCAGGGAGCAGAAGACCCCACCACCACCACACAUGCCCCCUGUCUGUCUCCUUGCCCUAGGGGUACACUGAAAUUGUCCCCAGUGUCACCUACGCCAGUACCCUGCCCCCACACUCACCACAGGCCAGAAUCCUCCCUCUGGGGACUGGCUGGCACUCCUCACCAGCCCGGCCAGGCCACUGACCCCCAGGAGGCCCCUGUGCCCGGUGCCAGCUCCGGGCCAUCUGUGGGGAUGACCAGUGCUGGGGUCCAGGCUACAAAGUCCUCAGGCAGGGGGCUCUGUGCUCAAGUCAGGGACAUAGGCAUUCUGGGCACAUUCAGAACCAGGGCUCCGGGAAAUGGACCAUGGGACCCGGCAGCCCCCGUGUGCUUUCAGCUUCCCCAGAAUGUUCUCCAAGCAUGUGGGCCACAUUUCCACAUGAUAAGAUUCCCGCCCAUGGGGAAGGCAAGACUGGUUUGGUCCUUCACUGUGUCCCCCAGCCAUUCAACAGCACCCAGGAGCCCCGACUCACAGUCCCACGCUAGGGGGAACCUGGGAGGCAAGGAUGGGCCAGGCACUGUCCUGUCCUCAAGGAGAUCUCAGUCUGGAGCAGACAGGGGAGGACCCAGUAACCACACCUCUCCAUCCCCCAGAGCCCCCCUCUACCUGCCCAUGGACUCCAAAGUCUGGACUUGGCCCCUCCAGCCGAGGGGACAACUCAG
This 1328-nucleotide long non-coding RNA is filed under the name Ursus maritimus (polar bear). Its description in RNAcentral is "lncRNA (ENSUMAG00000014449.1)". The record is from RNAcentral. Lineage: Eukaryota; Metazoa; Chordata; Mammalia; Carnivora; Ursidae.